AGGACUCGAACUAUUCUUUAUCCACAACUACGGAUUCCAGUCUCAAUAACACUCCUCUUCGGCCCUUCCUCGACAACACUCCACUUCAGCCCUUACUUUCCAGCCGACUCCACUCCAGGUAAGUUUAAAGCAAGAGCUAGGCAGUUGACGUGCAGGGACCUUCUGGCCCUGGGGGGGGGGUGGACUUCAAGACCCAAGGCUGGGCUGUUAAUGUGCAGAGGUUCCAGCUCUCAGGUAAGUACAGAGUUCAAUACACAGGUGAGUAUUCACAGGGCUGGGCUGUUAGCGUGCCGGGGUUCUAGCUCUCAGGUAAAUACAGUGUUCGAUACACAGGUGGGUAUUCACAGGGCUGGGCUGUUAGCGUGCAGGGGUUCUAGCUCUCAGGUAAGUACAGCGUUCAAUACACAGGUGAGUAUUCACAGGGCUGGGCUGUUAGCGUGCCGGGGUUCUAGCUCUCAGGUAAAUACAGUGUUCGAUACACAGGUGGGUAUUCACAGGGCUGGGCUGUUAAUGUGCUACUCACCACUGAAGAUAUUCAGAGGUCUGUAUUCCAAGCAGAUACGAGUUUAGUCGAUGACUGACGGCUGGUGGGCCUUACAGGUGAGACUGCAAACAAUACUGGGCUUCCCG
Long non-coding RNA from Carassius gibelio (silver crucian carp), 630 nucleotides. RefSeq lists it as uncharacterized. The record is from RefSeq and is a predicted model, not a curated record. The transcript is spliced from 4 exons. Lineage: Eukaryota; Metazoa; Chordata; Actinopteri; Cypriniformes; Cyprinidae.